AUUUCUAAGUCGGCUCUUAUACUACUAAUAGUUUUAAAACCCCAUUGAAACCAGAGGACCAGACUCAGCUCCCUCUCUCUCUCUCCCUCUUGAUUUUUGAAAGAAGAAUAGAAGCAGAAGAGAAUUAGGUAGGAAGCUCCGGUUUCUGAAAGGGGAACUUUUCUCCUUUUAUCCGCCGGAAACAAUGGAUGAUAGCAAAAACACGGCGACUAAUGUGGCCCAAGCGAUUCUCGCCGUCCUCGAUUAUAACUCCACUCCCGAUGCUCGCAAAGCGGCCGUUGCAUUCCUCGAAUCUAUUAAAUCUGGAGAUAUCAGGGUUUUAGCACACAUUUCCUUACUUCUAGUGAAAAGGGAGUGCUCUUCAGAAAUUCGAUUGCAUGCCUUCAAAAUGCUACAGCAUUUGGUUAGACUACGGUGGGAGGAACUAAGCCCAUCAGAGCGCAGGGAUUUUGCUAAGGUCUCUGUUGAACUAAUGUCAGAGAUUGCUAAUCCAUGUGAGGAAUGGUCUCUGAAGAGUCAGUCAGCUGCCCUUGUAGCUGAGAUAGUUAGAAGAGAAGGGUCCGAUCUUUGGCAGGAGUUGUUUCCUUCACUAGCGUCCUUGUCCGCACAGGGCCCGUUACAAGCUGAAGUGGUCUCAAUGAUGCUGAGAUGGCUUCCUGAAGAUAUUACUGUUCACAAUGAGGACUUGGAAGGUGACAGGCGCCGGGUACUGUUGCGGGGACUUACUCAAUCUUUGCCUGAGAUUUUGCCUUUAUUGUAUAAUCUUCUGGAGAGACACUUUGGAGCUGCGAUGAGUGAAGCUAGUAGGCAACAGGUUGACCUGGCAAAACAGCACGCGGCUGUGGUUAUAGCUUGUUUAAAUGCCAUCAAUGCAUAUGCUGAAUGGGCUCCUCUACUAGAUCUUUCUAGAUAUGGAAUCAUUAAUGGGUGUGGCGUCUUACUUUCUUCUCCUGACUUCCGUCUUCAUGCUUGUGAGUUUUUCAAACUUGUCUGCUCAAGAAAAAGACCUAGUGAUGCUUCUGAUACUGAAUUCGACUCUGCGAUUAGCAGUCUGUUUCAGAGUCUGAUGAAUGUCUCCAGAGAAUUCUUACACAGAUCAGCCUCAUGCGCUGGGGUUAUCGAUGAAAGUGAUUAUGAGUUUGCUGAGUGUAUAUGUGAAAGUUUGGUUUCUUUAGGUUCAACAAACUUGCAAUGUAUUGCUACCGAUGGUGGUGUUCUGGCUUUAUACCUUCAACAGAUGCUUGGUUUCUUUCAACACUUUAAGUUGGAUCUUCACUUUGAAGCAAUGCUCUUCUGGCUGGCACUAAUGAGGGAUUUACUUUCAAAGCCGAAGGCUGCCGUUUAUCCAAGUGGAGAGGGACCAGCAGUUGAUGGUGUUCAAAGUUCAAGCCAAAUUGAUAACGAAAAGAAAAAGAUUCUAGGUCUUAUAAGUGAUGAGAUCUCUAGCACAAUCCUGGAAGUAUCUUUCCAGCGGAUGCUUAAGAAAGAGAAAGUUCCUCCUCGAAUUGCUCUUUCUCUUGGGCCUCUAGAACUGUGGAGUGAUGAGUUCGAAGGAAAGGGAGACUUUGGCCAAUACCGUUCAAGGCUUUUAGACUUGAUUAAGUUUAUUGCCUCUCACAAGCCCCUCGUUGCCAGUGCUAAAAUAUCCGAAAGGAUUAUCACUCUCAUUAAGGAUCUAUUGGCUUCUCCAGUGCCUCUUCAGGAUGUAGCAGUGGUGGACAGCCAGCAGUUGGCAUUUGAUUGUAUUGUGGCAACCGUUUUUGAUGGAUCCAAUGAGUUUGCUGGUGGUAGUUCUGAAGUUCAUUUUUCAUUGCGAGGAAUAUUUGAAGGCUUGCUUCAGCAGCUUCUCUCUUUGAAAUGGACUGAGCCGGAACUUAUAAAAAUGCAUGGACAUUAUCUGGAUGCAAUGGGUCCAUUUCUCAAGUAUUUCCCAGAUGCAGUUGGAAGUGUGAUCAACAAAUUGUUUGAACUUCUUACCUCUCUUCCACAUAUUGUCAAGGAUCCAGCAACUAGUACUUCAAGAGUUGCAAGAUUGCAGAUUUGUACGUCUUUUAUACGCAUAGCUAAAGCUGCUGAUAAAAGUGUUUUGCCUCACAUGAAGUCUAUUGCUGAUACAAUGGCACAUAUGCAAAGAGAAGGAACUUUGCUCCGUGGGGAGCAUAACAUUCUGGGUGAAGCAUUUCUUGUUAUGGCUUCUGCAGCAGGAGCUCAACAGCAGCAAGAAAUUCUUGCUUGGUUACUGGAGCCAUUGAGCCAACAGUGGAUCCAAUUAGAGUGGCAGAAUUGCUAUCUAUCAGACCCUGUGGGUCUUGUUCGUUUGUGCUCCAACACACCCUUCAUGUGGUCUUUGUUCCACACAGUUACAUUCUUUGAGAAGGCACUCAAGAGAAGUGGACACAGAAAAAGCAACUUGAAUACGACCUCCGUAACAAGUCAAGAUUUGCAUCCUAUGGCUCAUCAUCUUUCUUGGAUGUUGCCACCUCUCUUGAAACUUCUCCGUGUUAUUCAUUCCCUUUGGUCUCCCUCAGUAUGUCAAACCCUACCCCCAGAGAUGAGGGCAGCUAUGACAAUGGCUGAUGUUGAGCGAUACAGUCUCCUUGGGGAAGCAAUUCCUAAAAUGUCAAAAGCCUCGUUGGUUUAUGCUGAUGGAUCUUUUGAUGGUGGUAGAGAAGGACAAUCUGAGGCAAAUGACUCUGGUGUGCGAAAUUGGUUGAAAGGCAUCCGAGAUAGUGGAUACUGUGUGUUGGGUCUAUCAGCUACAAUCGGAGAUACAUUCUUCAAAUGCCUAGAUGCUAACUAUGUCGCAGUAGCACUCAUGGAGAACUUACAGUCAAUGGAGUUCAGGCACAUGCGACAGCUUAUUCAUUCAUUUGUAGUUUAUGUAGUAAAAUCUUGUCCGGCAAAUAUGUGGGAUUCAUGGCUUGAAGUGCUCCUGCACCCAUUAUUUAUUUGUUGUCAGCAAGCUACUAGCUCCUCUUGGUCCAGUCUUAUGCGUGAGGGCAGAGCACAAGUUCCAGAUUCGUUCGGUGUACAAAAUGGGCCGGACAUGAAACUUGAAGUAAUGGAAGAAAAACUGCUCAGGGAUUUAACCAAGGAGAUUGCCACCCUCCUUUCAACGAUGGCUUCUCCUGGUUUAAACCCUGGGCUUCCUGUUUUGGAGCAUUCAGGCCAUGUGGGCCGUAUGGACAUGUCUACUCUCAAGGAUUUGCUUGCAUUUAAAUCCAACUCAAUAGUGGGCACUGCAGAUCUGUUUGGAAGUGUUUACAUGGACAGAUGGGGAGGCAACCACCAAAGUCUGUUCCUUUUGUGGUGUUGUUGUCCUUCUAGCGAUUCUAACAAAUAACGUUGAGCUCAGAGAAUUUGUGUCAAAAGAUUUGUUUUCUUCGGUCAUUAGAGGUUUAGCCUUGGAGUCAAAUGCCGUAAACAGCUCUGAUCUAGUUAAUCUAUGCCGUGAAAUAUUUAUUUACCUCUCAGACAGAGACCAAGCUCCCCGUCAGGUUUUGCUUUCACUUCCUUGUCUCACACCCAACGACUUGCGUGCUUUCGAAGAAACCGUGGCGAAAACGCCAAGUCCCAAAGAGCAGAAGCAACUCAUGAGGAGCUUGUUGCUGUUAGGUACAGGGAACAACUUAAGAGCACUUGCUGCUCAGAAAACCAUGAAUGUUAUCACCAACGUCACUUUAAGGUCACGCGGACCACCAAGCACUUCAGAUGCUAAAGAAGACGAAGCGGAAACAAUCGGGUUGGCCAGUGUUUUGUGAGGUGAAACUAUCUUAUUAGAUAAAGCUGGAGCCUGACGUGUGUUAUUGUAUUAAUAUAAAAUUUUCUAUUGUUAGUUAUUCAUUUUUCAAAGAAAACAAAAUAACAAAAAAGAAAGAAAAGGAAAAUUGAUUUUUUAAAAUAGAAACUAUAAAAUCGAAAAA
Eutrema salsugineum is the source of this 3923-nucleotide RNA transcript. It is a transcript of the gene named protein HASTY 1, with no coding region annotated. The record is from RefSeq and is a predicted model, not a curated record. Lineage: Eukaryota; Viridiplantae; Streptophyta; Magnoliopsida; Brassicales; Brassicaceae. The transcript is spliced from 22 exons.